UACGGGGGGGGCAAGCGUUGUUCGGAAUUAUUGGGUUUAAAGGGUGCGUAGGUGGUCUAUUAAGUCAGUGCUGAAAUAUCCCGGCUUAACCGGGAGGGUGGCAUUGAUACUGAUGGACUUGAGUAAAGUUGAGGUGGGCGGAAUUGACGGUGUAGCGGUGAAAUGCUUAGAUAUCGUCAAGAACACCUAUUGCGAAGGCAGCUCACUAAGCUUUAACUGACACUGAGGCACGAAAGUGUGGGGAUCAAACAGG
This 253-nucleotide ribosomal RNA is filed under the name uncultured bacterium. RNAcentral's name for it is "partial 16S ribosomal RNA". It matches the Rfam family "Bacterial small subunit ribosomal RNA", at positions 524 to 776 of the family's 1533-position model. The record is from RNAcentral.